RNAcentral lists this ribosomal RNA (405 nucleotides) under uncultured Hyphomicrobiales bacterium. Its description in RNAcentral is "bacterial SSU rRNA". It matches the Rfam family "Bacterial small subunit ribosomal RNA", at positions 355 to 776 of the family's 1533-position model. Lineage: Bacteria; Pseudomonadati; Pseudomonadota; Alphaproteobacteria; Hyphomicrobiales. The record is from RNAcentral.
UGGGGAAUAUUGGACAAUGGGCGCAAGCCUGAUCCAGCCAUGCCGCGUGAGUGAUGAAGGCCUUAGGGUUGUAAAGCUCUUUUAGCGGGGACGAUAAUGACGGUACCCGCAGAAAAAGCCCCGGCUAACUUCGUGCCAGCAGCCGCGGUAAUACGAAGGGGGCUAGCGUUGCUCGGAAUCACUGGGCGUAAAGCGCACGUAGGUGGGUCGCUGAGUCGGAGGUGAAAUCCUGGAGCUCAACUCCAGAACUGCCUUCGAUACUGGCGAUCUUCGAGUCCGGGAGAGGUGGGUGGAACUGCGAGUGUAGAGGUGAAAUUCGUAGAUAUUCGCAAGAACACCAGUGGCGAAGGCGGCUCACUGGCCCGGUACUGACGCUGAGGUGCGAAAGCGUGGGGAGCAAACAGG